GAUCUUCUUGAGCUUGGCUAGUUUAUCCUUCGCAUCAUCCAUUUGGUAUUCAAACUGAUCUUCUAGGUAAGAGCACACUUUGCUAACCAUCAUGGCGAUGCAGGCUGAUGCCAUCCAUUCUCCUAUUGCUAUAGGAGUCAUUAUACCCAAGAUGCAAUAACUCCAAUAUACCAAUGCCAGGAUUACUCACAGAAGGAAAUGGGUAUUGAGUUGAGAAAACUGGUGCUUUAUAUAAGAAGAGUAAUGAUAAUGAAGCUAGAUUAUUAUAUGGAGUUAAAAACAAAUAUUGUUAUCAGAAACUUCCCCGAGUUGCAUCGUCCUAGAUGUCUCCAAAAGUGUGUUGCUUUGUUGCCUAGUAGUUUAGUAAAACGUCACAUGUGUUGCUUUGUUACUACCAUUUUAUUUGUUGUUCAUCAACUCUAUUAGUCUCUCACCAAUCUCGUUUAUUCCGCUGUAACUAUUGAUGUUGACCUGUUAUGUGAUACUUGAAUGUUGGAUCCACGUACUAUUGAUGUUGACCUGCUCUGUGAUACUUGGGCUUUGUUUAGUUGGUGAAAAAUUCUAGGUUUGACUACUGUAGCAUUUUUGUUUGUAUUUAACAAUUAUUGUCCAAUCAUAAAUUAACUAGACUUAAAGAUUCG
Molecule: long non-coding RNA, 641 nt
Filed under: Sorghum bicolor (sorghum)
Lineage: Eukaryota; Viridiplantae; Streptophyta; Magnoliopsida; Poales; Poaceae
Description: long non-coding RNA (SBIC_LNC009961)
Source: RNAcentral